AGAGUUUGAUCAUGGCUCAGGAUGAACGCUAGCGGCAGGCUUAAUACAUGCAAGUCGUACGGAGGGCUUCGGCCCUCAGUGGCGAACGGGUGCGUAACACGUGAGCGACCUGCCCCUGUGUGGGGGAUAGCCCGGGGAAACCCGGAUUAAUACCGCAUACGCCCUACGGGGGAAAGCAGGGGCUCCUUUGGACCUUGCGCUAUUGGAUGAGCCUACGUCUGAUUAGCUAGUUGGUGGGGUAAUGGCCCACCAAGGCGACGAUCAGUAGCUGGUCUGAGAGGAUGAUCAGCCACACUGGGACUGAGAACGGCCCAGACUCCUACGGGAGGCAGCAGUCGGGAAUUUUGCCCAAUGGACGAAAGUCUGAGGCAGCAACUCCGCGUGAGGGAUGAAGGCUCUCGGGUCGUAAACCUCUUUUCUCAGGGAAGAUCCAAGACGGUACCUGAGGAAUAAGCCACGGCUAACUACGUGCCAGCAGCCGCGGUAAUACGUAGGUGGCAAGCGUUGUCCGGAUUUACUGGGCGUAAAGAGCGCGCAGGCGGCUGGUCAAGUCUGAUGUGAAAUCUCCCGGCUCAACUGGGAAACUGCAUCGGAAACUGAUCGGCUUGAAGGUGGGAGAGGGUAGUGGAAUUCCCGGUGUAGUGGUGAAAUGCGUAGAUAUCGGGAGGAACACCAGUGGCGAAGGCGACUACCUGGCCCAUUCUUGACGCUGAGGCGCGAAAGCUAGGGGAGCGAACGGGAUUAGAUACCCCCGUAGUCC
Molecule: ribosomal RNA, 760 nt
Filed under: uncultured soil bacterium
Lineage: Bacteria
Description: bacterial SSU rRNA
Rfam family: Bacterial small subunit ribosomal RNA
Source: RNAcentral